GAUGAAGAACGUAGCGAAAUGCGAUAAGUAAUGUGAAUUGCAGAAUUCCGUGAAUCAUCGAAUCUUUGAACGCACAUUGCGCCCGCCAGUAUUCUGGCGGGUAUGCCUGUUCGAGCGUCAUUUCAACCAUCAAGCCCCCGGCUUGUGUUGGGGACCUGCGGCUGCCGCAGGCCCUGAAAUCCAGUGGCGGGCUCGCUGUCACACCGAGCGUAGUAGCAUACAUCUCGCUCUGGGCGUGCUGCGGGUUCCGGCCGUUAAACCACCUUUUAACCCAAGGUUGACCUCGGAUCAGGUAGGAAGACCCGCUGAACUUAAGCAUAUCAAUAAGCGGAGGA
Molecule: unclassified non-coding RNA, 335 nt
Filed under: soil metagenome
Description: partial contains 5.8S ribosomal RNA, internal transcribed spacer 2, and large subunit ribosomal RNA
Rfam family: 5.8S ribosomal RNA (bases 1-120)
Source: RNAcentral